UUCCAGACUCCUACGGGAGGCAGCAGUGGGGAAUAUUGCACAAUGGGCGAAAGCCUGAUGCAGCAACGCCGCGUGAAGGAAGAAGGUCUUCGGAUCGUAAACUUCUGUCCUUGGGGAAGAUAAUGACGGUACCCUUGGAGGAAGCCCCGGCUAACUACGUGCCAGCAGCCGCGGUAAUACGUAGGGGGCAAGCGUUAUCCGGAUUUACUGGGUGUAAAGGGAGCGUAGACGGUCCUGCAAGCCAGAUGUGAAAGCCCGGGGCUCAACCCCGGGACUGCAUUUGGAACUGUAAGGCUAGAGUGUCGGAGAGACAGGCGGAAUUCCUAGUGUAGCGGUGAAAUGCGUAGAUAUUAGGAGGAACACCAGUGGCGAAGGCGGCCUGCUGGACGAUGACUGACGUUGAGGCUCGAAAGCGUGGGGAGCAAACAGGAUUAGAUACCCGUGUAC
RNAcentral lists this ribosomal RNA (447 nucleotides) under uncultured bacterium. RNAcentral describes it as "bacterial SSU rRNA". It matches the Rfam family "Bacterial small subunit ribosomal RNA", at positions 329 to 793 of the family's 1533-position model. The record is from RNAcentral.